This 1351-nucleotide ribosomal RNA is filed under the name Diaporthe oncostoma. RNAcentral describes it as "eukaryotic LSU rRNA". It matches the Rfam family "Eukaryotic large subunit ribosomal RNA", at positions 56 to 1439 of the family's 3401-position model. The record is from RNAcentral. Lineage: Eukaryota; Fungi; Ascomycota; Sordariomycetes; Diaporthales; Diaporthaceae.
GAAAAGAAACCAACAGGGAUUGCCCUAGUAACGGCGAGUGAAGCGGCAACAGCUCAAAUUUGAAAUCUGGCCUCGGCCCGAGUUGUAAUUUGCAGAGGAUGCUUCUGGCGCGGUGCCUUCCGAGUUCCCUGGAACGGGACGCCACAGAGGGUGAGAGCCCCGUAUGGUCGGACACCAAGCCUGUGUGAAGCUCCUUCGACGAGUCGAGUAGUUUGGGAAUGCUGCUCUAAAUGGGAGGUAAAUCUCUUCUAAAGCUAAAUACCGGCCAGAGACCGAUAGCGCACAAGUAGAGUGAUCGAAAGAUGAAAAGCACCUUGAAAAGGGGGUUAAAUAGUACGUGAAAUUGUUGAAAGGGAAGCACUUAUGACCAGACUUGGGCCGGGCGGCUCAUCAGGGGUUCUCCCCUGUGCACUCCGCCCGGCACAGGCCAGCAUCGGUUCUCGUGGGGGGAUAAGACCGACAGGAACGUAGCACCCUCCGGGGUGUGUUAUAGCCUGGCGGACGAUACCCCCGUGGGGACCGAGGUCCGCGCUCCGCAAGGAUGCUGGCGUAAUGGUCAUCAGUGACCCGUCUUGAAACACGGACCAAGGAGUCGUCCAUUAGAGCGAGCGUUUGGGUGUAAAACCCGCACGCGUAAUGAAAGUGAACGCAGGUGAGAGCUUCGGCGCAUCAUCGACCGAUCCUGAUGUUCUCGGAAGGAUUUGAGUAAGAGUUUUAACGGACGGACCCGAAAGACAGUGAACUAUGCUUGUAUAGGGUGAAGCCAGAGGAAACUCUGGUGGAGGCUCGCAGCGGUUCUGACGUGCAAAUCGAUCGUCAAAUAUGAGCAUGGGGGCGAAAGACUAAUCGAACUGUCUAGUAGCUGGUUACCGCCGAAGUUUCCCUCAGGAUAGCAGUGUUGAUCUUCAGUUUUAUGAGGUAAAGCGAAUGAUUAGGGACUCGGGGGCUAUAUAUUGCCUUCAUCCAUUCUCAAACUUUAAAUAUGUAAGAAGCCCUUGUUACUUAGUUGAACGUGGGCAUUCGAAUGUACCAACACUAGUGGGCCAUUUUUGGUAAGCAGAACUGGCGAUGCGGGAUGAACCGAACGCGGGGUUAAGGCGCCAGAGUGUACGCUCAUCAGACACCACAAAAGGCGUUAGUACAUCUUGACAGCAGGACGGUGGCCAUGGAAGUCGGAAUCCGCUAAGGACUGUGUAACAACUCACCUGCCGAAUGUACUAGCCCUGAAAAUGGAUGGCGCUCAAGCGUACCGCCCAUACCCCGCCCCCAGGGUAGAAACGAUGCCCUGGGGAGUAGGCGGCCGUGGGGGUCAGUGACGAAGCCUAGGGCGUGAGCCCGGGUCGACGGCCCC